Molecule: long non-coding RNA, 5488 nt
Filed under: Sus scrofa (pig)
Lineage: Eukaryota; Metazoa; Chordata; Mammalia; Artiodactyla; Suidae
Description: lncRNA (ENSSSCG00000046625.1)
Source: RNAcentral
CAGCAUAGGUGAUUUCCACUAUUCUGUCUUCCAGUUCACUGAUUCAUUCCUCUGUAUCACCUAUUGUUGAUUUCUUCUAGUGCACUUUUAAUUUCAGUUAUUGUAUUCUUUCUUUCCUUUCUUCCUUCCUUCCUUCCUUCUGCCUUUCCUAGGGCUGCUCCUGUGGCAUAUGGAGGUUCCCAGGCUAGGGGUAGAAUUGGACCCGUAGCUGCUGGCCUACACCACAGCCACAGCAACGUGGGAUCUGAGCCGCGUCUGCAACCUACACCACAGCUCACGGCAACACUGGAUCCUGAACCCACUGAGCAAGGCCAGGGACCAAACCUGCAACCUCAUGGUUCCUAGUCGUACUCGUUAACCACUGUGCCACAAUGGGAACCCCCUCAGUUAUUGUAUUCUUGAGCUCCUCCGUUCUUUAUAUUUUCUAACUCUUUCUUGAACUUCUCACUGUGAUCAUCUAUUCUUCUCCUAAAUUCAGAGCAUCUUUAUGAUCAUUCCUUUGAAUUUUUUGUUGGGUAGAUUGUUUAUCUCCGUUUCAGUUCUCCCUCUGAAGUUUUAUCUUGUUCCUUUGUUUGGAACACAUUCCUCUGUGGCCUCAGAGGCCACUUCUCUGUUUUUACUUCUACAUAUUAGGUAGGUUGACAACAGUUCUCAAUAUUGCAGAAGGGGUCUUUUGUAGGAGAUAGCCUAUGAAGCCAGCAGAACAUGCCUCCCUGGUCACCAGAGCUAUAUACUCUAGAGGUAUACCCUAUGUGGGCUGUGUGAGCUCUUCUGUUGUGGCAGGAAUCCACUACUAUGGACAUACUGGGGCGGAAGGGGAGGGGCUGGUUGGCUGCCAGGCCCUGCCUCAUGCAGGAGUGGCUGGCCAGCUGGUGGGUGAGUCUAGGCCUCAUAGAGCCCUUUAUUUUAAAAAACUUAACAUUCCAACCGCCAAUACAAAAGAGAUAUAAGUGGAGCUGCCAUUUAUGUACUCAAUGACCCCAUAUCCUACCCCUGAGCUUGGUUUCCUCACAGGUUCUGAAGAACAGAAUUUUAAAAUCCCCCCUCUGUAUUUCUGAGAACUAAUGGUGUUAAAACUCUGAUAUCAAAGUCAGAUGGAUGCAGGACACAGUGGUUUGGAGCUGGGGUGGUGCCUGCUGGGUGGGGGUGGGUACAUGUCGGCUACGGGACAGACCGGCCUACGCCUAUGGCAGAGUUCACUAGGGCCUGCUGACUGUCACCAUUCAAGCUGGAUAACUGUUUCUUCAGGAGGUGGCUGAGAAGCAGGGAAAGAGCACCGGACGUGGAGUCAGGUGGUGGACCCAUACGCCAGCCCAGCCACAUGGCCUCGGGUAGGUCGUGUCCUCUUUGUGCCUCGCUGUCCUCAACUGUAGGAUGGGCCUGAUAACACCAUUCUCAUCUAGUGACAUCAGGAUCAAACUGAGUCACUUAUGUGUCAAGACUACACCUGUGAAAGCCCUAAAUUAACAUUUUCACUUAUCUCUGGUUGAUUAUUUUCCCUUUCUAAGAGCACAGAGUCUGGAGCUAGACUACGUAGGUUCAAAUCUUGAUGCCACCAUGUGCUGGCUGAGGACCCAGGAUCCAGUUGCCAAGCUUGUUCCCUCCCGUUUAAAAUGGUGACAAAAAGGAAGGGCUUAGCAUAGCACCUGCCACACUGCUCGGCGGCGGCGGGGGGUGGGGGGACGACAAUAACUAAUGGCAAACUUGCUCCCUAGUGCCCUCUUCCAGUGUAGACAUAGCUGAAGAGGGGUGAGUGGCUCCUCUUGACCCUCUAAAGCAUGCAAGUUCAAAAGCUAUAGCUGGAAUUUUUUGGUUCUGUGCUAAAGUGUGAACCAAUCUUUCCUACGCUACACUGGGGUAUGUCUGAUCUGGAGCCAAGCCUAGAGGGCUUCCCUGGUGGGGAGCUGCUGGAAGGCUUAUAUGGGCCCUGGGGUACCAGCCCAUGUGACUUGGUAUUCUGGCAGGCAGUGAUCCUCACCUUGACCUCACGGGAAUCAGCAGCCUGAGAGGCUGAGUCCCCCAAAACCCAGCCCCAUGUUACCCUGUACAGCAGGUCCUCCUUGACCAGCUGCCAUCUCCUCCCUCCUCCAGCCCACGGGCCAUGACCCUUUGCUAGGCACCAGAACCAGCAGUCAGCACUCAAUGUAAAUCAUUCAUUCACCUCCUCCAAAGAUGCUGGCAGUGAUCGCUACCUCUCGGAGCCCCAGCUUUCUCACCGGGAACACGGGUGAUAACAAGAGCACAUCUCUCAAAAGUGGGUGUGAAGAUCAAAUUGGAAAAAAAAUAAUGGCACGCACUUAUUUAGCACUUACUUCCUGACAGGCCCUUUCUCAGUGACACAGAUAAGGGCCAGAGGGGAGGCUCUGACCUCUCCCUGUCAUGUCCCUCCAGCUUCUGGAACACUUCCCUGCCAAUGACCAGAGACCUUCUUUCCCCAUGACUCUGGGUCCUGAAGACUGCAGCCAGUGGAGCAGAAAGAGCACUGGAGUGGGAGCCAGAGUCCAGGUCUGGGUCCUGGGUGCGCCCUUGCUGGGCCUCAGCUUCCUCUACAGCAGAGGUGCUAGAAGAUGAUGGAAACGUAGCACUCUUUUACCUGGUGGUCCUUAUCUUCCCUUCCCAAGCUUUCCCAGGUGACAGCCUUGUCUGAAUCAGGCACCAGAGGGUGGGGAUGUCCCAGCCUCCAGCUCCCUGCAGCGGCAGCCCGGGCUGGCCCUGUGACGGCUGGCUGAUGCGUCUGCCGUCCUCUCCUCCUCUCCUGCCCUCUUCCAGGCUUGGGCUCUCCCCCUGCCGGGUUCCUGCUGCUUCGGUCCCCACUCGUCCAGGACUGCCUGACGCCCUCAUCAAGCAUCAGCCAGGCUUCUAUCCUCCAACCCCACCCCUGGCUGCUUUCCCAGCACUUUCUAAACCUGGGGCUCCACCAACUGACAGCCAAGGUGCCCAGGCUUGAAAAUUGCCUGAGCCAGGGCAGUCCCAGCAGGUGGGGCCAUGCUUCUCUCAUCGCUUUUUCAGGGUGGUAGCACCUUUGGCUGCCCAAGCAGUACCCCAGAUGGUAUAACCACCCCUGGCCGCUCCACCCUCCACCCACAGCUCCUCGAGGAGAGUAAAUGGAUUAAUGUCCAUGAUUAAGAGCAUGGACAUGGGAAGCAAACAGUCAGGGUUCAGCCAAGCAAACAGCCAAGUAUUCUGUAACCUUGGGCAAGUCACUUAAUCCUUUUCUAUGGCUCAGCUUACUCAUCUGUAAAAUGGAUGUAUUAAUAAAGUGUUAGGAGGAUUAGAUGACUUAAUAACACUGAGUGCUUAGAACAGGACCUGAAGCAAAGGAACCACUCCACAAAGAUCAGCUACAAUUGUUCCUAACAUUCUUUUUUUUCCUUUUUCUUUUUACAGCCACAUCUGUGGCAUAGGGAAGCUCCUGGGCCAGGGAUGGAACUGGAGCUGCAGCUGAGGCCCACACCACAGCCACAACCACAGCAAUACAGGAUCCAAGCUGUAUCUGUGACCCACGCCACAGCCUGUGGCAAUGCCAGAUCCCCAACCCACUGAGUGAGGCCAGGGGUCAAACCCACAUCCUCACAGAGACAAUGGCUGGGUCCCCAACCUGUUGGAGCCACAACAAGAACCCUCUAUUCCUAACAUUCUGAUUAGCCCAAGGAAGAACUCAACAGCUGGCAGUGCACAGGUCCAGUCUGGUCCACAGAUGUGAAUUAUCCAGUCCAUAAUGCUGUGAUGGGUUUGAAAGGCCAACAUUAAGGAGAUGUUACACGGAAAUUAGAAUUGUCAGCUUUCCUCUAAAAAAAGACUCAGCAGUGCUGGGCCCACAUUCUCAAGUGGCAACAGCCAACUGGAGCUGAGGAGAGGCUGCCCCCUCUGGACUGGCCACGAGUCUGCAGGACACCGCAGCAACCCCAACCCCCACUUCUGGUUUCCCCCUCACUGUGGCCCAGAUUCGGCUGCCACUUUUCAUCAUGCUGGCGCUCUGUUUCUUCUACGAAGAGAAAGGAGAACUAUGUCUUAUACCCGUGUCUCAGUCAAAAGUGAGAAAAUGAUUUCUGUGAGGCUUAAAAAUAGGCAAAACGAAUCCAUGGUGACAGACAGGACAGCAGUGCCUCUGAGGACAGGACUUACUGGAAGGGGGCAUGAGGGGACUUGCUGGGGGAAUGGAAAUGCUCUGGAAAUAUCCCACAUCCUGAUUCUGCUGCGGGUACACGGGUGUCUACAUUGGUCAAAACCCGUCAAACUGCUUCUGGCCUGUGCAUUUUAUUCUAUACCAGCUACACCUCAAUAAGGAAAAAAAUAAGCAGAAAACUGACAGAUAGGUUAGGAGGGUGUCAUGUUUCAAAGAAAACAGUGACCGACUUCUUUCUUUGUGGGUGUGAAGCAAACACUUGUGGGUUUAAUAUAAAGACAACAGGAAAAGGAGACAGAAUCACCACUGGGGCUGCUGGGAGCCGAGAGGGCUGGCUGGUGAAAUCAAGCGAAUGGCUCUGCUCACAUUUGAGUCUGAGACCUACCCUCCAAGGCCAUGAAAGACCACCCUUCAAAGGACUGUGCAUAAUGUCUAACCCAGUAGCCAUCAGCUGCACGUGGCUGAGAUGAAAAUGAAAUUAAAAUUGGGAGUUCCUAUUGUGGUUCAGCAGGUCAUGAACACAACUAGUGUCCAUGAGGAUGUGGGUUCGAUCCCCGGCUUCGCUCAGUGGGUUAAGGAUCUGGUGUUGCCGUGAGCUGUCAUGUGGGUCGCAGAUGCGGCUCGGAUCCUGUGUUGCUGCGGCUGUGGUGUAGGCUGGCAGCUGCAGCUCCGCUUCAACCCCUAGCCUGGGAACCUCCAUAUGCCGUGAGCGAGGCCCUACAAAAAAAUAAAAAUAAAAAAAUAAAAUUAAGAAUUCAGUUCCGCAUUUGCACUAGUCACAUUUCAAAUGUCCACUAGCCAGACAUGGUUAAUAGCACAGAGACAGAAUAUUUCUAUUAUCAUAGAUAGUUCUAUGGGACAGUGCUGUCCACACUGGCUAUACAGCUGGGCUAACUUCUGGGUCCCUGGCCCAGGCAGGCCUCUUGAUCACUGCCACACAGGUUCCUGACACAGAGUAGUUGUUAAGCAACUGAGCUGAAUGAAUGAAUGAAUAAAUGAAUGAAAAUAGAAGCAGACGGUGAGACCCGGGUUUGAGUCCCCAGCCUGGCCCUCACCAGCUGCAGGGCCUCCAGCAAACCUCCCCUCUGGGCCUCAGUGUGGUCUGUACAAACGAGGGCAAGGCCAUCUCUCCCUCCCUCUCAGGACUGGGCACAUAAACUGAUGUUCUCAGGGUGCUCAGAGGACCAGGAGCCAAGAGAAGGCCUGCGGGGGAACUGAUGUGCCAGCAGUCCCACCCUGAAUUCUAGAACAAGUGGGAGGGCUGGGAGUGGUGGGAGGGGCCCUUGGGGGCAUUUCUGUUUGCUGGAGUUGAAAAUGCUGGGGGGGCCCAGGGGCAGUGGUAAAGAGAAAACAGGCUGGGCC